Molecule: unclassified non-coding RNA, 265 nt
Filed under: uncultured fungus
Lineage: Eukaryota; Fungi
Description: partial contains 5.8S ribosomal RNA, internal transcribed spacer 2, and large subunit ribosomal RNA
Rfam family: 5.8S ribosomal RNA (bases 1-52)
Source: RNAcentral
AACGCACAUUGCGCCCGCCAGUAUUCUGGCGGGCAUGCCUGUCCGAGCGUCAUUUCAACCCUCGCGCCCAUCCGGGCCGCGGUGUUGGGGUCCGGCACAACCGCCCCCCGGGGCGGCGCCGCCCCCUAAAACCAUUGGCGGUCUCGCUGUAGCCUCCCCUGCGUAGUAGCACACCUCGCACCGGAGCGCGGCGCGGCCACGCCAUAAAACCCCCCACCGCAAUGAGUUUGACCUCGGAUCAGGUAGGAAUACCCGCUGAACUUAA